This 1995-nucleotide long non-coding RNA is filed under the name Xyrichtys novacula (pearly razorfish). The record is from RNAcentral. Lineage: Eukaryota; Metazoa; Chordata; Actinopteri; Labriformes; Labridae.
UCUGAAUCAGUAGCUGCGUCCGAAUUGCCAAGUAGUAGUCGAAGUAGAAGUCGAAGUAGUAUCUAGCAUGUCCGAAUUGGCCACCGGAGCGAGUAGCAUGCUACUUCAGAUACUACUUCAGAUACUAGACACGCCCACAUUGUAGGUUGGUCUCGGUGCAUCCUACGGGCAUGCUACUGACCCAAAAUGCACCACGGGCUUCUUCUUCGUCCUCUUAAAAGUUGUAGAAGCGCAUGUGAUGCUAGCGCCACCAGCUGCUCUGCCUAUUUAAAUGUAUCGCGAACGCCGGCUGGCCACAACAGCGCGCACCAUGUCGCGGGACCGCAGCAGUACAGAUGUAAGUUUCAUGUAACUUCACACACUGUCCUAAAAAAUGUGCGGUUGUAUCUCUUUGUCAUGUCAUGGUGUCAUAUUUGCCCAAGUAAUCAUUUUAUGAGCAAAUAUGUGGCGACAUCAUGGAGGUAAAGCUCACUUAUUCCAUCAUUAAACUGCACAGCUGCAGUACUACAGCCAGGCCCGCAGAUGAGGGGCUUCAGUUACCACUGUCUGCACGGGCGCAGUACCUACUCUCUGCCUGCGGGGGUCGUCUUUCCCCACCGCUCGUCUAGUGUGUCCGAAUUGGGCCAACGUGUUUAGUAUGUAGGAGUAGGAUCUAGCAGUAGCACGUAGCAGUAGCAUGUAGUAUCCGAGCGGGCAGUUCGGACGCAGCAAGUCUUUCAGGGAACAGAGGACUGUCUGCACAUGCAGCUCUUCACCAGCAGGUGGCGCUACAGGCCUGAAGAAAAGUAUGUGAUGAUCCUGAAGUUAGGAGCAGAACAGACUGUAAAAACAGGUGAGAGUCUGAUCUGCUGAAAACUGAAGGAUUUAUAAAGAGACUCAGAGUUCAGGUCAGCUGUGAGGAGGAACAUCAGAUACUAACAGACCUUCAUCCUGCUGCUUCCAUCCAUUUAAGUUCUGACUUCUUUACAUUUAUAUUAUAUUUAUAUUCUUUAAUAAAAGAUCCUAGACUGUCUUCUGUUGAACAUUUUCUUUUGUUGUUACUUUAAUGUUAUGUUUUUACACAGGUAUGUCAGAGAGGAGCCGUUCCUUUGAAGUACAGGCGAUAAUCUUCACAGUGUCCUCCUGUCAGAAACAUGUUUAUUGUUUUGGACACGUCCCUGUCCUCUGAUCAGAGAGGUCAGAGGUUAUAAAAAAGGUCAGAAGUGACUCAGCAGUUUUCACGAUUCUUUAACUGUUAAUGACUUUAUUGGCAGCUAUAAAAAGUUAACGUUCUCUUUUACCUCUUUUAUCUUUUCUCUUAUUUUGACUUACUCUCCUUUUAGCCUUUAUUUACCUUUAUUUUACUCUUUUCUUAUUUAACCUUUUAGGUCUUUUAUUGAUUUUAUUGUUUUGACCAUCCUGUUUCCUGAUUUCUACCCCCUCUUUUCUAUUACAUUUCUUCUUCUUUUACCUAUUUUAUCUUUUUAUUUCGGUCUCAGUUUAUGUUGUCGGUUCUUGUCUGGGUUCCUUAUGAAAAAUGAAAUUGGCCUUUAAUUCAGAGGUUUUUAACCGAGCUUUUGUUUUUAUUUUCAUGUGCUGAUGGUCUGAACUUUAGGACUACAUGUCAAAGAACUUUGUAAACUUCUGUUUUUAAUUGUGAUAUAAAAAUAAAGUUAUUAUUAUUAUUAUUAUUAUUAUUAUUAUUAUUAUUAUUAUUAUUAUGUGUGCUGAUUAUGUGCACACUGUGAAAGCUCACAUGUGUUUUCUGGACUCUUUACUGAACAUCUGUAUUUAUAUUUAUAUCUAUAACAUCUAUGAUAGAAAACAAACAUUUGUGGUUUAGUUGGUUGUUCUGAAUUUUCCUCCUCUAAAGAAGAUCAUGAGUAUUUUAUCACUUCUUCAACAGACUGACCCGGUUCUGACAGAAGAGGAAGACCUGAGGAGGAGGAGUUUGUUUUUUCCUGAUGUUCUUGAACGCAGCUUUGAACUGUUGGAGCUACAGCAGCUGAUUUAGGA